GCGUAGUUCGGAAUUACUGGGCUUAAAGAGCUCGUAGGUGGUUAGAAAAGUUGGUGGUGAAAUCCCAAGGCUUAACCUUGGAACUGCCAUCAAAACUUUUUGACUAGAGUAUGAUAGAGGAAAGUGGAAUUUCUAGUGUAGAGGUGAAAUGCGUAGAUAUUCGGAGGAACACCAAUUGCGAAGGCAGCUCACUGGGCCGCUAUCGACGCUGAGGAGCGAAAGCUAGGGGAGCAAACAGGAUUAGAUACCCUGGUAGUCCUAGCUGUAAACGAUGGAUACUAGACGUAGGAACUGGAUUGACGGUUUCUGUGUCGUAGCUAACGCGUUAAGUAUCCCGCCUGGGGAGUACGGUCGCAAGACUAAAACUCAAAGGAAUUGACGGGACCCCGCACAAGCGGCGGAGCAUGCGGCUUAAUUCGAUGAUACCCGUAGAACCUUACCUGGACUUGACAUAUAGGGUCUAGCUAUAGAGAUAUAGUGUGCAUUAGCGCCCUAUACAGGUGGUGCAUGGCU
This 513-nucleotide ribosomal RNA is filed under the name uncultured Acidimicrobiales bacterium. RNAcentral's name for it is "bacterial SSU rRNA". It matches the Rfam family "Bacterial small subunit ribosomal RNA", at positions 538 to 1050 of the family's 1533-position model. Lineage: Bacteria; Bacillati; Actinomycetota; Acidimicrobiia; Acidimicrobiales. The record is from RNAcentral.